This 407-nucleotide ribosomal RNA is filed under the name uncultured bacterium. Its description in RNAcentral is "bacterial SSU rRNA". It matches the Rfam family "Bacterial small subunit ribosomal RNA", at positions 355 to 776 of the family's 1533-position model. The record is from RNAcentral.
UGGGGAAUAUUGCGCAAUGGGGGAAACCCUGACGCAGCAACGCCGCGUGAAUGAAGAAGGCUUUCGGGUCGUAAAAUUCUGUCCUUAGGGAAGAAGAAAGUGACGGUACCUAAGGAGGAAGCCCCGGCUAACUACGUGCCAGCAGCCGCGGUAAUACGUAGGGGGCGAGCGUUGUCCGGAAUCACUGGGCGUAAAGGGCGCGUAGGCGGUAUAUUAAGUCAGGUGUGAAAGUUUUCGGCUCAACCGGAAAAGUGCACUUGAAACUAAUAAACUUGAGUACUGGAGAGGUAAGCGGAAUUCCUAGUGUAGCGGUGAAAUGCGUAGAUAUUAGGAGGAACACCGGUGGCGAAGGCGGCUUACUGGACAGAGACUGACGCUGAGGCGCGAAAGCGUGGGGAGCAAACAGG